This 1398-nucleotide non-coding RNA is filed under the name Pan troglodytes (chimpanzee). Lineage: Eukaryota; Metazoa; Chordata; Mammalia; Primates; Hominidae. The record is from RNAcentral.
UCCCGCGGCCCAGCUGGUUUGUUUUCAACAAUACGGUCAAAGCCACACGCCCACCGUUAUUUACGCCGCCAGCCAGCGCCGGCACUUCGGAGGGAGGAAGGAAGCACCUAAGGCGCUGGGGGCGGAAACGCUGAGGAGGAGGGGUGCGCCUCAGGCGAGAGCUGGCCGGCGCCGACCCGGCCUGGGGCAGCGGCCGCAGCUCCCCGCCCGGGACCGCGCAAAAAGGCCCAAGGUCCCGGGCCGCACUCACCGAAGUCCAGGAACUGCUUCAUGGAGAGCGGGGACGGCGAGAAGCGCGCGUAGAAGUCCACCUGGCCCGGAACGCCGCGCUCGGACGCCGGGCUGGAGCCCGAGUCCGAGCUGAAGCUGCGGCUGGAGCCGGCGGCGCGCAGCCCCGGGCCCGGGCCGGCAAAGGCGGCUCCGCGAAGCAGCCGCGCCAGCCUCAUGCCGAGUCCCGCUAGAGAAGCCACAGCCAGUGCGCCAGGUUUCCCCGCGCCUCUGCCGAGUGGGUUGAAGGCAAAUACUUGAAGUUGCAAUCGAAGGUCAAGAAAAUGGAAUCAAGAGGUCACAAUCCUUCUUUGAUGAUGGCUUAGAAAGCUGGAAGACACUCAACAUUGAAUCCUGGGGCUCUGUGCCAUGCUUGCUAGGAGAAACAGCCACCAUGAGUCCAUCUUUCGGAUCUCAAGUGAACAGCAUGGUAUCGGGGAACACUGUCAUCGUACCUAGAGCGUUUAAAGAAUCCACACUAGAGAAGAGGGAAAGAGAAAGAGAAACAAAUUAAUCUCACAAAGAAGCAAGUACACUAAAUGGGAAUGUCUAAGCUUUCUGUUCAGCUAUAUCUACCUCUGGACUAAGGGGAAAAAGACAUGGUUUUCUUUUAAGAAAGAACCAAGAGGUUGAAAUGAAAGAAGAGCCAGUGGGGAUCAACGGAAGAGAACAGCUGUAAAACUGGAAAAAAAGUCCAUUUUCAUCUUCUCUUUACAUUUUAUAACAAAGGUAGGCUACCUCUUUACUAACAAUUUAAGAGUUUAUGAAAACAGUGCUUCCAUAUUUAAAAAUAAUCACAUUAUAUGUAAAAUAUCUGAUUAUCAGAUUAGAUUAAGAAUAAUUUUUAAAAGGCAUAAACCAAAGAUUAUUUCAUGCCCCUUUCCCACUAAUAAAAUGCAAAUCAUGUCACAAGUAUUUUACAAAUUACUAUUUGAAUAUGCCAGUGUUCCAACAGGUCAACUUUAUAAUCUUUUUCUCUCCUCUGAGGCUGUAGUACACAUAUCACUUCUCUCAUUAGCCAGGAGGUCAUUUAUGUUGCCUGGAUUUGCUAUUGUGCUUCUAAUUAAGCUAUUUCAUUAAUAAAUCACAUAGUAACUGUUUCCUGCAAUAAAAAUCAUGUGCUGCAUAGGA